AUUGAACGCUGGCGGAAUGCUUUACACAUGCAAGUCGAACGGCAGCACGGGGCAACCUGGUGGCGAGUGGCGAACGGGUGAGUAAUACAUCGGAACGUGCCCAAUCGUGGGGGAUAACGUAGCGAAAGUUACGCUAAUACCGCAUACGAUCUACGGAUGAAAGCGGGGGAUCGCAAGACCUCGCGCGAAUGGAGCGGCCGAUGUCAGAUUAGGUAGUUGGUGAGGUAAAGGCUCACCAAGGCGACGAUCCGUAGCUGGUCUGAGAGGACGACCAGCCACACUGGAACUGAGACACGGUCCAGACUCCUACGGGAGGCAGCAGUGGGGAAUUUUGGACAAUGGGGGCAACCCUGAUCCAGCCAUUCCGCGUGAGUGAAGAAGGCCUCGGUUG
RNAcentral lists this ribosomal RNA (391 nucleotides) under uncultured bacterium. RNAcentral describes it as "bacterial SSU rRNA". It matches the Rfam family "Bacterial small subunit ribosomal RNA", at positions 30 to 425 of the family's 1533-position model. The record is from RNAcentral.